Molecule: long non-coding RNA, 1899 nt
Organism: Coturnix japonica (Japanese quail)
Lineage: Eukaryota; Metazoa; Chordata; Aves; Galliformes; Phasianidae
Source: Ensembl
AAAAUAAGUACCCUAAACUAGUAUCACACAUUUUCCUGUUCUGGAGACUCUAAAAGUGCUAGAUUUGUGAUAUUUAUUCUCCUGUACUUCCUUCAUGAGGACUGCUCAUUCUCCAGCUACUCUUGUCCCACAGCAGUAAUCUAGAUGAGCCAUCUGCCCUUGCCCAAAGCCCUGGCAAAGAAGUGGGACAGACAUGUUUCCUCCUGCUUGCUGGUAUGCUGAAGAUAAAGGACAGGCUUGAUUUAUCCAGAAGGAUUAGUCUGGAGGUUUGUUAGACUGCUCAGGAGGACUGCACUUUGCUCUGAGUCACGGCUGGUCUAUUUGUCAGUAGCCAAAAGAAUGGCUGCUCUCAGACGUGCGCUGCCUGCCUCUGAAAGAAAAAACUAUGAAGCUGAGGGCCUCAAAGGUAGGGUGUCUUCUGGACACUAAAAUAUUCUCAACAAAAGACACAUUGACAAACUCCGCAGCCAAAGGUAGGAAAAAUAAUGUCAGAUUUCCUAUUUUAUGGCCAUUUCAGCACACAAACACUUUCCAUCUAUGACUUCUCCAGAUGGCAAAUAUUUUUUUGCGCAUUCAGCAUAGCAUUAUGUGCAGCAUAGAUAUAUAUAUAUAGCAGUUUUUAUUCUCGUUGGCCAUGUUUCUAACCAUUCAAGCUUUGUAUUUGCUAAGCAUAUACAGAACGUACACUCCAAUUGCUCUCCUGCUUAUUCCUAAAGUUUUGCUGAAUGCAGAUUCACAGAAAACUCCUGACAGAAUUUUGUCAUAACUUUCUGUAGCUGCUCUGCACAAAAUCAAAUUAAGUGAUCAUAAUUACCUGUGGGAAUACAAGAAAAGCUGUUCAGAGCAGCAGCUGUGGAGCAAGAUAAACAGCAAUUACCAGUUUUUAUUGUUUACAUUACCAACAGAAGAAAUCCUGAAGAGGGUUGCUUUGGUAUAUCUUCAAAAAUCCUACAUUAUUUUUCUCCUCUCUUCUUUUGUCACUGAAGGACCAUUUAUGAUGAACGUUGCAAUUCUACCAGUUGUUCUUGGCUGCUACUACCCAUCAUUUCACGCAGAUCUGGUUACACAAGCACAGAAAAGUCAUCAAUGUAUUGGAAGAAGAGAAAGAGAGAAAGUGCUCCUAUUUAUGCAGAACUUCUGGAGAUGCAAUACAGGUGAUGCUCCAUUUCAUAACAGUUUUCCAUGGAUCCAAGCUAGCAGUACAGCUCUGUGCAGCCAAGCCCUUACUAAUGGCUGUUACCUGGAAGUUCAAAUAGCACAAGACCUAUCAAAUAAGUCCCUGGAAGAUUAACAAAAUGUAUCCCCCAUAUUAGCCAGCUCAGGCAACAUGCUGGAGAGUCUGACUGAGAAAUAAGUGUGAAAAAUGGUACGAGUUCUUCUACAGAUAUUUCAGAAAGCAUGUCUUUAGGUGACCCCUUAAGAAGUCCAUUCAGUGUAAAACUUAAAGUCUGAAGAGGGUUUUGUUUAGGCACUAUUCAAUUGUGCUCUCAUAUCUGGACAUAUGUGACAGUAUUAUUUCUUUUUUCUUCAGAAGCCUUCAUAACAGCAAGGCCCAUGCUUCAAUACACUCACGUGAAAUUUCUCGCAAUGUCAUAGUUAGUGACUCUCCUUCUGAUACCUUCUGACUAAUAUCUUCUGACUUAGUCUGCUGUAAAGCCUGCGAACUGGCUUCAUCGAGAUGCAAAAAAUGCUCAUCAUACAUUUAACCAACGGCAAAGUUUCAUGGGGUGAAAAUUGUGAGUUAGAGGUAAAGGAUCCUAUGGAACUCAAGAUCAAGACUUUUAUUCACAACUUGGUGGACAAAGAACAGCUUGGCCCUCUUGACCUACAAAGGGAAUGUGGAGAAACAGUCUGGAAAACAGCAGGUCUUUAUUGGUGGUGAACAGCAUAAGCUGAGGG